This 710-nucleotide ribosomal RNA is filed under the name Rossellomorea marisflavi. RNAcentral describes it as "bacterial SSU rRNA". It matches the Rfam family "Bacterial small subunit ribosomal RNA", at positions 53 to 746 of the family's 1533-position model. The record is from RNAcentral. Lineage: Bacteria; Bacillati; Bacillota; Bacilli; Caryophanales; Bacillaceae.
ACAUGCAGUCGAGCGGAUCGAUGGGAGCUUGCUCCCUGAGAUCAGCGGCGGACGGGUGAGUAACACGUGGGUAACCUGCCUGUAAGACUGGGAUAACUCCGGGAAACCGGGGCUAAUACCGGAUAACACCUACCCCCGCAUGGGGGAAGGUUGAAAGGUGGCUUCGGCUAUCACUUACAGAUGGACCCGCGGCGCAUUAGCUAGUUGGUGAGGUAACGGCUCACCAAGGCGACGAUGCGUAGCCGACCUGAGAGGGUGAUCGGCCACACUGGGACUGAGACACGGCCCAGACUCCUACGGGAGGCAGCAGUAGGGAAUCUUCCGCAAUGGACGAAAGUCUGACGGAGCAACGCCGCGUGAGUGAAGAAGGUUUUCGGAUCGUAAAACUCUGUUGUUAGGGAAGAACAAGUGCCGUUCGAAUAGGGCGGCACCUUGACGGUACCUAACCAGAAAGCCACGGCUAACUACGUGCCAGCAGCCGCGGUAAUACGUAGGUGGCAAGCGUUGUCCGGAAUUAUUGGGCGUAAAGCGCGCGCAGGUGGUUUCUUAAGUCUGAUGUGAAAGCCCACGGCUCAACCGUGGAGGGUCAUUGGAAACUGGGGAACUUGAGUGCAGAAGAGGAAAGUGGAAUUCCAAGUGUAGCGGUGAAAUGCGUAGAUAUUUGGAGGAACACCAGUGGCGAAGGCGACUUUCUGGUCUGUAACUGACAC